GGUGCACCUUUUGGUGCUGCACCUAAAGCCCGCCUUGUGCCUUGUGCUCUUGGCUUCUUCAUUUAU
This 66-nucleotide ribosomal RNA is filed under the name Taphrina antarctica. Its description in RNAcentral is "partial 28S ribosomal RNA". The record is from RNAcentral. Lineage: Eukaryota; Fungi; Ascomycota; Taphrinomycetes; Taphrinales; Taphrinaceae.